AGCUGUUUUAUUCUCUCCAGUAGUCUCGCUGUAGGUUAUUAAUCCGUGGUCUCGACGUUGUACGCUGGAUUAUGAGAAAACAGUAAGCAUGACGUGUGUUGUGAAGGUUGAAAGUUGAAAUAGUUGGUUUGCAAGUGACAGUGAAGUAACUGCAAACAAUAUGUUUGAAUAUAACGGCAAUGGCACAGAGUCUGGUGUCUGUAACAUAAUUUCAUCAACCAUUGGUGAAGUGUAAAUAAAUGGAGGAAUCUGACUUAAUGAUCAGUGAUGUAUAGGUACUUCGAGGCCUCGGGAAGGAGUCUGCAGAACUGAAACCGGUGGACAACUGAAAGAAGAGGUGUCGGACUGCGCAAAAGUUUGGUGAGAGGAAGGCUUAAGAACUAUGGCAGAUACGUAUGGCACACAAAGGCAAACAUUGACCAGUUGCAAAAGUGACUCUUCUUUGAAGAUAUGUAGAAGCAGACAUAAUUGAAACGUAAUGUAGAACUGACUAUGGAACAAAUUUGAUAGAUUUAAUUUCUCACGUUGAAACAGUUUCCGUAAACAUGGCUCAAAAUAUGCCAUUAGAACAUGACAACAAUCAACUUUAUCAAUGCCAUCUGUCAGACACUUAAAGUGUGAUGCAA
Long non-coding RNA from Cryptotermes secundus, 626 nucleotides. RefSeq lists it as uncharacterized. The record is from RefSeq and is a predicted model, not a curated record. Lineage: Eukaryota; Metazoa; Arthropoda; Insecta; Blattodea; Kalotermitidae. The transcript has 3 exons.